This is a long non-coding RNA of Lineus longissimus, 436 nucleotides long. RefSeq lists it as uncharacterized. Lineage: Eukaryota; Metazoa; Nemertea; Pilidiophora; Heteronemertea; Lineidae. The transcript is spliced from 3 exons. The record is from RefSeq and is a predicted model, not a curated record.
ACAUGCAUGACAUGUGUCGUGUGUCAUCAUGGAAGCGAAACUGCGUGGUUCAAUGCUGUUGUUUGUUUAUUGAAAACCGGCUGUUAGAUUGCUGGAAACUUUAUAAUCAUGUGAAGGUUUCCCUAACGUAAUCGGUGCUUUGGACUGCACACAGAUAAAGAUUCAAGCCCCAUCUCAAUUUGAGGAUGUUUAUGUCUGUCGCAAAUCCAUUCACAGCAUCAAUGUUCAGAUGAUAUGUGAUGCUGAUCGCAUUGCCACAAACCUUGUAGCCAAAUGGCCGGGAAGUGUUCACGACAGUCGAAUAUUCAAGGUGUCGUCCAUUGGCCGAGAACUUGCUAACCAAGGUAAUUCAGACAUGUGUGAUACCCACUAAAAACAAGUAAUUUAAUAGAUAGAUAAAUAAUUUAAUUGGAACUUUAUCAACAUUUAUAACUAA